RNAcentral lists this ribosomal RNA (2444 nucleotides) under human metagenome. RNAcentral describes it as "bacterial LSU rRNA". It matches the Rfam family "Bacterial large subunit ribosomal RNA", at positions 1 to 2597 of the family's 2925-position model. The record is from RNAcentral.
AUAAAUCGUUAAGGGCGUAUGGCGGAUGCCUAGGCUUUCAGAGGCGAAGAAGGACGUGGUAAGCUGCGAAAAGCUACGGGGAUUGGCACACACGAAUUGAUCCGUAGAUAUCCGAAUGGGGCAACCCAAUACAUUGAAGAUGUAUUACUGCGUAAGCAGAGCGAACCCGGAGAACUGAAACAUCUAAGUACCCGGAGGAAAAGAAAUCGAAGAGAUUCCGUUAGUAGUGGCGAGCGAAAGCGGAUUAGCCCAAAAGUUGUAGUAUGUUUAGUAGAAUACUUUGGAAAGAGUAGCCAUAGAGGGUGAUAGCCCCGUAAAUGAAAGGCAUAUUAUGAUGAUAAUAGAGUAGGGCGGGACACGUGAAAUCCUGUUUGAAUAAGGGGGGACCAUCCUCCAAGGCUAAAUACUCCUGAAAGACCGAUAGUGAACGAGUACUGUGAAGGAAAGGUGAAAAGCACUUCGAAUAGAAGGGUGAAAGAGAACCUGAAACCAUACGCCUACAAGCGGUCGGAGCACCAAUAUGGUGUGACGGCGUGCCUUUUGCAUAAUGAGCCUACGAGUUAAUUGUACUAGCGAGGUUAAGAUAUUAAGUAUCGGAGCCGUAGGGAAACCGAGUCUGAAUAGGGCGAAUAGUUAGUAUGAUUAGACGCGAAACCUUGUGAUCUACCCAUGGGCAGGUUGAAGCUUUGGUAACACAAAGUGGAGGACCGAACCGGUUGACGUUGAAAAGUCUUCGGAUGACCUGUGGGUAGGGGUGAAAGGCCAAUCAAACUGGGAGAUAGCUCGUACUCUCCGAAAUGCAUUUAGGUGCAGCGUCAAUGAUAAGUUUAUUAGAGGUAGAGCUACUGAUUGGAUGCGGGGGUUUCAUCGCCUACCAAUUCCUGACAAACUCCGAAUGCUAAUAAAUGUUCGUUGGCAGUGAGGGCAUGGGUGCUAAGGUCCAUGUCCGAGAGGGAAAGAACCCAGACCAACAGUUAAGGUCCCCAAAUAUAUGCUAAGUUGAAGCAACGCGGUUGAACUGCCUAGACAGCUAGGAUGUUGGCUUGGAAGCAGCCAUUCAUUUAAAGAGUGCGUAACAGCUCACUAGUCGAGCGGUUCGGCAUGGAUAAUAAUCGGGCAUAAGCAUAUUACCGAAGCUAUGGAUUUGUACGUAAGUACAACUGGUAGGAGAGCAUUCUAUCGGCGUAGAAGCUGAGUCGUGAGGCUUGGUGGAGCUUAUAGAAAAGAAAAUGUAGGCAUAAGUAACGAUAAAGCGGGCGAGAAACCCGCUCACCGAAAGACUAAGGUUUCCUCAGCCAUGCUAAUCAGCUGAGGGUUAGUCGGGGCCUAACGCGAACCCGAGAGGGGUAGUGGAUGGACAUAGGGUUAAUAUUCCCUAACUUGCUCACGAGGAAAGUGACGGUUCAAUGAGACUUAAGAAGACUGACGGAAUAGUUAAGACCUAGCCUACGGGCGAAGUUGAUUAAGAGCAGUUGGAUCCAAGAAAAGCGAGUGAAGCAACCCGUACCAUAAACCGACACAGGUAGUCGAGGAGAGGAUCCUAAGGUGCUCGAGUGAGUCGUGGCUAAGGAACUAGGCAAAAUAGUCUCGUAACUUCGGGAGAAGAGACGCCAACAGCGAUGUUGGCCGCAGUGAAGAGGCCCAGGCGACUGUUUAACAAAAACACAGGACUCUGCUAAAUCGAAAGAUGCUGUAUAGGGUCUGACACCUGCCCGGUGCUGGAAGGUUAAGGAAGGUGCUUAGCGUAAGCGAAGGCAUUGACUGAAGCCCCAGUAAACGGCGGCCGUAACUAUAACGGUCCUAAGGUAGCGAAAUUCCUUGUCGGGUAAGUUCCGACCUGCACGAAUGGUGUAAUGAUUUGAGCGCUGUCUUGACGGGAGGCCUGGUGAAAUUGUAUUACCGGUGAAGAUACCGGUUACCUACAGUAGGACGGAAAGACCCCAUGGAGCUUUACUGUAGCUUGGUAUUGGGUUUUGGCAUUGCAUGUAUAGGAUAGUUGGGAGACUGAGAUGAUAUGGCGCUAGCUGUAUCGGAGUCAUCGGUGGAAUACCAACCAUUCAAUGCUGAAAUUCUAAUCUGUGGUUUGUAGCCACGGAGACAGUGCUAGGUGGGCAGUUUGACUGGGGCGGUCUCCUCCCAAAGAGUAACGGAGGCGUUCAAAGGUUCUCUCAGGUUGGAUGGAAAUCAACCAUAGAGUGCAAUGGCAUAAGAGAGCUUGACUGCAAGACUGACGGGUCGAGCAGAUGCGAAAGCAGGACAUAGUGAUCCGGCGAUUCCGAAUGGAAGGGUCGUCGCUCAACGGAUAAAAGCUACCCUGGGGAUAACAGGCUGAUCCUACCCGAGAGUCCAUAUCGACGGUAGGGUUUGGCACCUCGAUGUCGGCUCAUCGCAUCCUGGGGCUGGAGAAGGUCCCAAGGGUUUGGCUGUUCGCCAAUUAAAGCGGU